Molecule: non-coding RNA, 680 nt
Filed under: Trichomonas vaginalis G3
Lineage: Eukaryota; Parabasalia; Trichomonadida; Trichomonadidae
Description: Eukaryotic small subunit ribosomal RNA
Rfam family: Eukaryotic small subunit ribosomal RNA
Source: Rfam by way of RNAcentral
AUAGUUUUUGGGCUCUGGGGAAACUACGACCGCAAGGCUGAAACUUGAAGGAAUUGACGGAAGGGCACACCAGGGGUGGAGCCUGUGGCUUAAUUGAAUCAACACGGGGAAACUUACCAGGACCAGAUGUUUUUUAUGACUGACAGGCUUCGGGUCUUUCAGGAUAUUGUUUUUGGUGGUGCAUGGCCGUUGGUGGUGCGUGGGUUGACCUGUCUAGCGUUGAUUCAGCUAACGAGCGAGAUUAUCGCCAAUUAUUUACUUUGCCGAAGUCCUUCGGUUAAAGUUCUAAUUGGGACUCCCUGCGAUUUUAGCAGGUGGAAGAGGGUAGCAAUAACAGGUCCGUGAUGCCCUUUAGAUGCUCUGGGCUGCACGCGUGCUACAAUGUUAGGAUCAAUAGGACUGCGAGCCUGAGAGGGUGCGCUACUCUUAUAAUCCCUAACGUAGUUGGGAUUGACGUUUGUAAUCAGCGUCAUGAACCAGGAAUCCCUUGUAAAUGUGUGUCAACAACGCACGUUGAAUACGUCCCUGCCCUUUGUACACACCGCCCGUCGCUCCUACCGAUUGGAUGACUCGGUGAAAUCACCGGAUGCUUACGAGCAGAAAGUGAUUAAAUCACGUUAUCUAGAGGAAGGAGAAGUCGUAACAAGGUAACGGUAGGUGAACCUGCCGUUGGAUCAGUU